Ipomoea nil (Japanese morning glory) is the source of this 99-nucleotide long non-coding RNA. RefSeq lists it as uncharacterized. The transcript is spliced from 3 exons. NCBI's taxonomy places the organism in Eukaryota, Viridiplantae, Streptophyta, Magnoliopsida, Solanales, Convolvulaceae. The record is from RefSeq and is a predicted model, not a curated record.
CCAAACAAGAACAUAUGUAAUACUUAUAUUAGCCAUGGCCUAUGCACAGGAACAGGAAUUGCAGUUAUGGCAUCAAAAUGUUAUUCUAACAUGGAACUA